AGGGGUCGCCCCCUCACCCCGUCUCGGCCCUCGGGGAACGGGCAAAUAGGAGAAUCAAACUUUAUUCCCCUCUGUGACUUCUUGCGUGUGUGUGCUUGGGGAACCGGCCCCUUUGAGGUGGGUGCUGCAUUGCUUCAAGCUCCAUUCGGUUCCCUAAAGGUCCUCGGUGGUCCUUUUAGAGGGCUGGCUUGCUCAUAAGCUUGUUGGCGUGCCUGAAGAAGGAAGGUGGGCAGCAGGCAGAGGAGAUGCCAGUGUGACAAGUUGUUGGAAGGGGUGGAUUUUGUGGUUGCGUUGACCGGUUACUGCUGGGUUUCUUUGGCCGGCAUUGAAUUGGCUGGCAAUGAAAGGGGGUUUCUAUUUAAACAGGCUUGAUCCGUGUUUGUGUGUGUGAUUUCUUUUUUCAGUUGUGAGAGAUCAACUUGACAUGGAGUUGGUGACCUAACAAGUCAGCAGGUUCUCUUCCCUUGGACUUUCUAGACUCAUAUGUGUUGGUCUCUGUCCAACUUUGAGGAAAAGAGUGUAAGGUUUUAUUUCCUAGGGCUAAGUUGUAUAGUGUGGUAAUAAGAGAAUCACUACAGAGAGCCUGAUAGGAGACGCUAGCUCCCAAAUAAAUCCACCUGUCCUGUUCUGGUCACAUGGCUCUUGAAAGAAACUGAAUUGGAGGUUUUCAGAGAGCACACCCCCAGACCAAUGACAGCAUCAAACUAGGUGUCUGAAAGAGCUGUGAAAAGAACAAAUGUUCUGCAAAUGCAAGGUGGGAUUGUUAAUUAUUAGGCAUAAGUAUGGUGGGUCCUGUCCUCAUCCUUGUGAGAAUAUUGUGGUUUUUCAUGUUUGGCAAACUGACAUAUUGCUUUGCCGAAGCUUUUGGGUGCGAGCCGAGCUUUUCCACAGUUCAAUUUAGAUUUGCAUGUUCCAUAGCCUCCAGUUAUGUGUUUUGUUCUUUUAAAACAUAAGGGCACUCAAAAAUCUGAUUGCAUUCUCUUCUCCUCCAAAUUGUUUAAAGACUUCCAAGUUAUCUUUCUGUCUAUCUUAAUAAGAUACAUUCUGACUCUGCACAGUUUUUAGAGUGUUUGGGUGUGGUAUUCAUUUAGUUUCUUUUGCCUCAUAAAUUUUUCACUAUGUGAAUCUGUCAAGCUGGGAGUGUCUUCCUUGUGGGGGUACUUUACCAGAGUAUUCUGUGCUAUUCUGGGGUAGGGAAAGUGGUGUGCUGAGUUUGUAGCUGAAAGCACAAUUAAAAUGAAGUGUUAUUUCUGAAGGGCAGAAAUGUUAUCAUGGGAAUGGUGACUUGUAAAUGAAAUUAGAAUUGUAAUAUUUUGAAAAAAGUUGAACCCGAUUAUUUAAAAUAUGUAAGCCGAUUUUUUUCUUUUUCUACCAUUGCUCUGAAGCUACUCUGAAGUAUACAGCUGUCUCCAUCCGAUAUUCUCUGAUUCCUAACAGAACAUUAAAAUUGAAAGGGAUCUUAGAGACUUAUUUAACUCUUGACAUUUUCUGCCUAAAUUGAGGCCCAGAAAGGGGAGAGAUUUGGCCAAGGCUACCCAGCUAAUCCAUAGCGGAUUUGGACUCGCACCCACUCCAGAUAUUUUGACCCCAGUAUCGUGUUCUUUGUAUUUUAAAGUGUAAUUGCUCCUUCACGUCUCUCUCCUCCCUGGUAAAAUUAACUGUUGUCUGUUAGGAAAGUGCUGAUAUUUCAGAACUCUGUGAAUGGGAAUUUUGUAAGUAGAUGUUGAUUUGAGACCACAUGUAGUAGACAAAUAUGGGAACAAACAACUUGCCAGACAAAAUACAUACUCUUAUAAAGGUCCCUGAGAGACAUUAAGGUUGAAUCUUGCAAAGAGACAUCCUGAGUAUGUGCAGCAGAUGGCACUCUGCAUCGGACUGGCUCACAAGCCCAGCUUGUGCCACUUUGGUUCUGCUGUUGUAGGUAUGGUAAAUCAGAGCCAGGGGCAUAGCCAGUUACCAAAAUUAAGCCAAACUCGUUGCCACUGAGUUGAUUCCAACUCAUAGUGACCCUAUGGGGCAGAGUAGAACUGCCCCAUAAGGUUUCCAGGGAGUGGCUGGUAGAUUGGAACUGCCAACCUUUUGGUUUGCAGCCACAGCUCUUAACCGCUGCAGCACCAGGGCUCCAUAGCCGAUUACAGUACUGGUCAAUCUUUGCUGUAGGGGCGUGCUUUUUGAAAUCCGUCUUUUCCAAGUCCGGAGAAUGAGUCCAAAUCAAUGCAGUAGUUCAGUUAAUUGGUAAAUGCAGUUGUGACGUUAUAAACGUAACAGUUAAAACAUCAUUCAACUGAGUAAAUAGGAGUAAAGAGGCAGGGACUUAUUCAAUAUUUUUAGCACCAUCUAGUGUAAUUUUUCCCUUCUUGUAGGAAGAGCCUGCAUUGCUCCCCAGCUUGUGACUGUAACUAAGGCGGAUGCAGAAUGUUUGUCGAGUAGCCUUUCUGUAUGGUUAGUGAAGGUAGCUGCUAUUUCAAAGUUGAUCCUUUGGGGGGGGGCUGGCUUUCAUUGGGAGCUGUGUAAUGCCUUUGCCAAAUCAAACCAUCUUGUCUCUGACUUUGACAACCUGACUGUUGGCAUUUCCUUGUGGCCAGUGGCUAGACUGAAUUAUUAAAUCUCUUGCUUAAGUCUGUCAUUGUACUGUUACAGUUGGUGGAUGUCUUCCUACCUUUCACAUAACAGUUCUUCUGUUUUAUCUGAAAGUUUUGACAAAAGUUACAUUACCUGACAGGAGUCCUAAUUUUUUAAUUGGGUUCCUCAUGGUCUGCCCCAUCUUACUUUGCCAGGUCCAUCCAAGCUCAAAUACUCCACUGUGCUUAAGUCGGUCUCUGCCCUGUUCCCAAAUGUCCCAUACAUCCAUACUGAAUGUUUAUACAGUUUUUAUAGCUGAGUUUCAGCUUUAAUCACCCCUUAAUUGCUCUCUUAUGGAGCACUGAUGGUUCAGUGUGGAAUUUUUGCUUUCCCUGUAGGAGACCUGGGUUCAGUUCCUGGCCAGUGCCUAUCGUAUCCAGCCACUACCCGUCUGUCAGUGGAGGCUUGCCUGUUGCUAUAUAAUGCUGAACAGGUUUCCGUGGAGCUUUCAGACUAAGACGGGCCUGGUGAUCUAUUUCCAAAAACCAGUCAGUGAAAACCCUAUAGAUCACAACAGCUCAAUCCACAAUCUAUCAUGAGGAUCGUGCAAGAUCAGGCCUGGGGUCACCAGGAGUCGGGGGUGGACUCGAUGGCCAUUGACAACAACCGCUCCUCUAAUGUCUGCGGUCCAUUUCAGGUUAGAGACUGUGACAUAGGACUUCUCUUCCAAUCUCACAUCCUCACUUUGCACGUGAGGAAACAGAUUCGUGGCGACAUGUGAGUUUAUGUGUGUGAUUAACGACAGACCUGAGAUUAAAAGUCAUUUAAAUAGAAGUGAAUUUGAGAAUAAAUCCUAGUUUGAAUCUUAACUUUUGUGAUCCUUGGCUCUUAAUCCCUUUCCAUUGCUCUAUUCUGUCCUCUCUGAAUUCUGAUAGGAUUUAUUAUUUUUGGAGCAGAGAUUAUCACUGACCUGUCUUAUUCUGUAAAUGUUUCAUUUGUGGGCACCUUAUCUUCCUGAGAGGUUGGCAGUUCAGAUCUGCCAGGCACUCCUUGGAAACUCUAUGGGGCAGUUCUACUCUGUCCUAUAGGGUCGCUACGAGUCGGAAUCAACUCAACGGCAAUGGGUUUUUUAAUCUUCCUGGGGAGAUAAGGGUAAAGAUUGUGUAUCUUAUUACCUUUGUGUCUUUCAUAGACUUCAGCCCGUGCUGGGUGCCCUAGGUGACACUCAGACUAGCGUGAGUCAGUAGCACCUUUUUGUCUGUUUGCCAGUGAGAAGGUCUGCUCUUUUUCUCUUGCCCACCCUCCCCUCUUGUUUGAUUUGAUUAAUAGCCUGUUGCUUAGGUUGCUACAUUUGGCUAAUUACUUUAAGCUUGGUAUUGCCAGUGCUGUCUUUGGCGGUAUAUUACUUACCCUUCUUUAUGGUGGAUUGGUACCACUCUAGUUCUACAGAAGUCACUAGUAUUCUACCCAAAGCCAGCAAAAGUGUGAUGAUUACAAGGUUAUUAGAAAUGUAUGCUCAAAUCAGGUUCUAGAUUUGUUAUUUUCUCUUACUAUGAUAUUAAGCCAUUGAAGGUUCUGGAUAAAUAUGGCUAGAAUGGGCUUCUUUUGUUUUAAAGGAAGCAGCCAUCUAGUUGCUCAUCUUAAAAUCUUGCUUAUUUUGAAAACCCUACAAUAUUUAAAUGAGUAAACUUGGAUUUUUUCAGCAAAUCCUAAUUAGUUGAACUAGUCCCAAGAGGCUCUAUUUUAUGGUUUAUGGAACUCUUUGCUCGGAGAGGAAAUCCAAAUAAAAAAUGCAGCAUCAAGAAUGGAGUAAGUCAAAGACAGUAGAUUGAUACUGUAUCAUGUUUUGUUUUGGGGCUGCCUAAUGUUUGAGGUUAACGGCAGGGAAUGGUCACAGUCUUACUCAGUAGCACUGAAUUGAUACCGUUAUUUGAAUAGUUGUUUGGAUGUUGUUUUUAUUUCUUUUUAUAUUCUAGCCUUGCACCCGUAUAGGUUUUCUUUAAAAUUAUCGUUUGUUUUCUUGUAAUCAAGUACAUGGUUACCUUUUAAGGUUUUGGAAUAGCUGCUUGAUAUAUGGUCUCUGCCUUUGAGCCCUCUAUUUAUUUGAUUGAUUAAUACCAUACCGUGGCUCACGGAUGUAUUAGCGUUACUGGAAGAGCGUGGAACCCUGACACAGUGGUUAAGACUCGGCUGCUAACCAAAACGUUGGCAGUUCAAAUCCACCAACCGCUCCUUGGAAACCCUGUGGGGCAGUUCUGCUCUGCCCUAUAGGCUCGCUUUGAGUCAGAAUUGACUCGACGGCUUUUACAGAUUUAGAAGAACAUGUUGUUAGGUAAUCUAAAAUAGUACCCUAGCAGGUUUUUUUAGGUGUGUAUCUUCAAAAAAAAAAAAAGAUUCCUGCAAUUUAGAGCUUGAAAAGACCUCAGAUUGAGAAAACGAGAGUGCGAGGGGGCAAAACGGCUGUUUCCUUAGCAGUCCCACAAGUUAAUACAGAUUUCCUGUAUUAAUUUUAAUAAGUUUAGUGAAUUAUUGGCUCAUAAACUGUGUACUGGCUUGAAUCUUUUAUAUCGAUAAAAAUAUAACUUGGUAAAUUACAUCACCAAUUGGGUCUAACAGCAUGCUAAAGCUGAAAUUUUUCUGAUGCAGUUCUGGAAUAAUUGGAUAAUGUGACGUGGCAUUUUGACAUUGCGCUUAAAAAUAAGCCUUUUCUCAAGUUUCUUUAAUUACAUUAAUUGUAUUUAUCAGCCCAGAAGAGUAAGGUGUUUAGUUUUUAUACCUUAUUUCUAAAGUUUUGCUUUUGCAUUUUUUUUUCUUGCUAUUUAUUGUCCAUUUUGUUGUUUGGACAGCACUUGUAAUGGUCACCAGAGAAGUGCUGUGGAGCCCGUUAGGUGCAUGAGACUGUCCAGAGGACCGGCCCGUUAGGUGCAUGGGGCUGUCCAGAGGACCGGCCCGUUAGGUGCAUGGGGCUGUCCAGAGGACCGGCCCGUUAGGUGCAUGGGGCUGUCCAGAGGACCACAGGCGUGCAGUCCCGGCCUGUACUGCCUUACAGGUUACAAGAGCUCUUGAACAUUUUUUUUUAAUUGUGCUUUAUGUGCAAGUUUACAGUUCAAGUUAGUUUCUCAUAUAAAGAUUUAUAUCCACAUUGUUAUGUGACACUAGUUGCUCUCUCCCUAAUGUGACAGCACGUUCCUCCUUUCCACCCCGGAUUUCCCGUGUCCAUUCAAUCAGCUCCUGCCCCUUUCUGCCUUCUCAUCUCGCCUCUAGACAGGAGCUGCCCAGUUAGUCUCACGUAUCUACUUGAACUGAGAAGCACACUCUUCAAAGUGUCAUUCUAUGUUUUAUGGCCCAGUCUAAUCUUUGUCUGAAGAGUUAGCUUCGGGAAUGGUUUUAGUUCUGGGUUAAGAGAGAGUCCAGGGGCCCUGUUCCUGCAGUCUGAUUCAGACCAUUAAGUCUGGCCUUUUUGCUAGAAUUUGAGUACUGCACCCCACUUGUCUCCUGCUCCGUCAAGGACUCUCUGUUUUGUUCCUUGUCAGUGUGGUCAUUGAUGGUAGCCAGGCACCAUCUAGUUCUUCUGAUCUCAGGCUGAGGUUUAUGUGGUGCUUUCUGUCUCUUGGGCUAGUAUUUUCCUUGUGUCUUUGGUGUUCUUCAUUAUCCUUUGGUCCAGGUGGGCUGGGACCAAUUGAUGCAUCUUAGAUGGCGGCUCGCUAGCUUUUAAGACUCAAGACACCACUCACUGAAGUAGGAUGCAGAACAUUUUCUUAAUAAACUUUGUUAUGCCAGUUGACCUAGUUGUCCUCUGAAACCAUGGUCCCCAGACCCCUGCCCCUGCUGCUCUGUCCCUCAAAGUGUUUGGUUGUAUUCAAGAAACUUCUUAGCUUUUGGUUUAGUCCAGUUGUGCUGACUUCCCCUGUAUUGUGUGUUGUCCUUCCCUUCGCCUAAGAUAAUUCAUGUCUACUGUCUAGUCAGUGAAUACCUCUCUCCCUCCCCACCCUCGUAACCAUCAAAGAAUGUUUUCUUCUGUUUAAACCCUGAGUUCUUACAAUAGUGGUCUUAAUGCAAUAUUUGUCCUUUUGCAACUGACUAAUUUCACUCAGCAUAAUACCUUCCAGAAUUAUCUGUGUUAUGUGAUCUUUUAUGGAUUCAUCGUUGUUCUUUCUCGUUGCAUAGUAUUCCGUUGUAUGAAUAUACCAGUCUUGAACUUUUUUUUGUCUUCUAAGAUGGGCCUCCUUUGUGCUUCUUAUGUAUCUCUAUUAAGUGGUGUUACAGGAAGUUGAAGAGUAUUAAUGUCUGCUUUAAACUUUAGUUCAGAGGAAGUUAAUGCCACAAAUAACUAGAAAGCAAAUAGGUUAGCUUAGAUUACCUAACCUCUGUAGAUAGAGCAGAUAUAGAAGAAAGUAUCUAAGAUCCAAAGGUAUCACGUUACCUCAUUCAGUUCUCACAGUGACGUUCUGAGAGGUAUCUUGGUUUUAUACAUGAGGAAAGUGAGGAUAGGACAUAGUUACUUCCUAAGUGUCAUAAACUGUCUUAGUGCUAGGGAUGCAAAGAUGGACAAAACAGAUGUUUUGGAGCUGGGAUUUAAGCCUAGGUUUGGCUGGAAUUAAGGCUGUACCAUGCUGCUGUGUUGGUGUGAGUACUCGUUCCUUUUUAUCUACUAACAUUCUCUUCUAAGAAAUUUCACCAUCCUUCCUGCUAAUUGUUGUCUUUAGGUGCUGUCGAGCAGGUUCUGACUCACAGUGACCCCACAUACAACAGAACGAAACAAUGCCUGGUCCUGCACCAUCCUCAUAAUUGUUGCUGUGUUUGAGCCCAUUGUUGCAGCCAUUGUCUGUGCAUCUUGUUGACGAUCUUCCUCUUUUUCGCUUACCCUCUACCAAGCUUGAUGUCCUUGCCAGGGUCUGAUCCCUCCUGAUAGAAUGUCCAAAUUAAGUGAGAUGAAGUCCUACCCACCGGCUUCUAAGGAACAUUCUGGCUGUACUUCUUCCAAGAGAGCAUUCUGGCUGUACUUCUUCCUGCUGAUUAUAUUUUCUACAUCUCUCUCCUCACCUUCCCCUCCAGGUAUUAGCUAAUAAGGAUCUAAGGUAUUCCCUCCUAUGGAUAAUUUGCAAUGUAGUUUGGGAUUUUAAAGUGUUUCACCCAGUAAACCUGGUAAUUAUUGAGUAUUGCUUAUAUAUCAUAGACUUUUAUAACCUCGCCUAGUGUUAUACACUGGCAGUUUAGUGGUUAAAUGCUACAGCUGCUAGCCAAGAGGUCAGCAGUUCGAAUCCACCAGGCACUCCUUGGAAACUGUAUGGCGCAGUUCGACUCUGUCCUACAGGGUCACUAUGAGUCGGAAUUGACUCAGUGGCAAUGGGUUUGGUUUUUUGGUAGUGUAGUCCACGACAAUCCUUCAGGAGACAUACAGAUGGAAAAAUGAAGAUCUAGAAAGGUUAGAUAACCUGCAGUCAUUCAGAAAAUGUUUUCUAACUUCAACUUUUUGUGAGACACUGUGCUGGCCACUCGGGAAGCCGGAUGCCCCUGUGAUGGUCCUAGAAGAGUUGAGUGUGGCCAGGAGACAUUGUACAAACAAGACUGUAAAUGGCUGUGCUUUUUUUUUUUUUUAAGACAUAGUGAGGCCACUUAGACCUACCUGAGAGAGUGAGAGAGUUGGGGGAGGCUUCACAGAAGAGGCCUCACAUGAGAUUAUACAAUGUGUGGGAGACUGGAAAAAGAUGUGGUUGACCUUCCAGGCAGCACCGAGAUCUGGCAGGAUGAGGGAAUGUAGGGAGUAAGAUGUGUUUGAGAAACAGGAAGUAGUUUGUUUGACCCGAAUAUGGGCAAAUACAGCCGGAGAUUAGGCCGGACCAAUGAUACUGACACCAAUAAUAAUAUUUAUCAAGCGUACCAUGUGCCGGACUGUCAAGCAGUUUACGUGGAAUAUCUCAAUUCUUGUGGUACCCCGUUGACCUAAGGACUGCUGUUACCCUAAUUUUACACAUAGUGAAACUGAGCUACCUCACAUUGAUCAAGUGAUUUGCCCAGGAUCACAACUGGUAAGUGACACAGCUAGUAAAUGACUUGCCCAGGUAGCACAGCUAGCAAGUGGCAUGCCUGGAAUACAAACCAGACAGCCCUGCUUUAGAUCCUGUCUCUUAACCACUGUGCUAUAUGGUAGAGAAUUAGAUCGUGAAGGGAUUUGUGAAGGAGUUGAAAAUUUAGGUCCGUGGUUUUCAAACUUUUUAACUCAGCCCACAGUGGGAAGUACAUUUGACAUGGUCACCCAGUAUGUCUCUGUGUGUGUGUGUGUGUGUGUGUGUGUGUGUGUAAGUAACUAAGGGAAAGUUUCAUGAGACAAUAUUCUUACUAUAUAUGAGGUACUCUGAUAUUUUCUAUUUUGUUAAAGAAAUACUGUUCGGGACCUGCUUUUGCAAUCGUAAACCACAGUUUGAAAAAAUACUGCUAGUCAAUGCUUGAGCCACUGAAGAAUUUCACGUAGGAGAAGCAUGUGAUAGAAUUUAUGCUUUUAGGCAGGUCACCCUGGCAGUGGUGUAAAAGCUGGGUUGGAAAGGAUGAGACCAGAGAGGCAGAGAGACCUGUAAGGGGUGUCUUGAUGGACCAGGCAAGAGUGCCUGAAGUAGGACAGUAACAUGGGGAUGGAGAAAAGGGAAUAGAGAAGAGGGAGACUUAGACUUAGGAGAAAAAGGAAUAGGAAGAGGGAAACUCAAGAUCUGUCUGACUCCAUAACUCAGGUACUGAAACUUUAUUUCUGGACCUUAGUGUUUCUUUUUAGAAUCAUGUUAAAUUAUUCUUCUUCGUUAUCUUUUCUCUGUCUUCAAUUUUGUAUUUAAAAUAUGCUGACCUGGUUUGAUUAUUUUUAUAUGAUUUUAAAAUUUAUCUAUCAAAUCACAUGCCCACCUUAUCAUGUGAUUUGAUAGAUAAAUUUUAAAAUCAUAUAAAAAUAAUCAAACCAGGUCAGCAUAUUUUAAAUACAAAAUUAAAGACAGAGAAAAGAUAACGAAGUCUCUGAAAGAGUACAUUCUGUGGGUUAUACUCAUGCAAAGUUACAUGUGGAAACUCUUAACAUUAUGUUUGUUAGAGGAGUACUUUGAAUAAUUUUCUUUGACUUUACUUUCUUUAACUUUCCAUUUUUGCAAUAUAUGAAUGGAUGAAAAGAGUCCUUUUAUGGCCUUAAUUUAUUUUGAUUCCCUUUCGGGAAAAUUGACCAAUUGUAUGAUGUUCUUGUCUUUUUGAAAAAACUAGCUACUCCUAAGCAUCCUGGUAAAAUUUUAGCAACAAUUCUUUCCAUAUCAGCAAUGUAGCUAUAUAAUAUUUUCAACUGCUUCUGCCACACGAGUUUAUUUAGAGAGAGAGACAAAAUAUAUGACUGAGAACAAAUUAUUUUACUGGAUUGCUUUAUUUAGAAAGUACACAUUCUUCGAUCUUCCAGGUUUUAUAAUAAAAAGUAUCAAUUUAUUUGAUAGCUGUGACGGUUUUAGAUACAUUACAGUAGCUGCUUUACCAGAAGAGAUUGUAUUUGCAAUAUAGUUGGUGAGCUUUUUGAAAUCUGACAGGAGCAAAGCAUUGCUGUACCAUCACAGAACUUUUUUUUUUUUUAAUUAGUUUUCUGGAAUAUAGUUAAAUGAAAAGGUGAUAAAAAGGUGUGUACGUGUGUGUUUCUUAGUCACCAAAGUAAAAGUAACUGAAGAGGAUUAGGUGCCAUGUGGUUUAAAUAAUAGAGUCAGGAUGUGGGUUCUAUUCCUCCCUCUUCCAUUAACUUGCUGUUUGACCUUGGACAAGUCACUUAACCUCUCUAGUUUUAAUGUUUCAGUCAGUUAAAUAAGAAUGCUUGAUUAGGUGAGCCUAAAGGGCUUCUUUAAUUUUAUAUAGUAUUCUACAAGUCAUUUUUAUUUUAUCUAAUUUCAUUGAGUGGUGUCUGUGAAAUCGUAAACCCAGGUGUCUUAGGCUGAGUUCUUUGGAGGAGCAAACCAGUGAAGGAAGACCAGUAAAUAUAAAUAAAUAUAUGUAUUUACUUCAAGGAAAUGGCUUACACAAUUGUGGAGGCUAGGAAGUCCCAAAUCCACGGGUCAGACUUCAGGCUGGAGUCUCCUUCUGGAUCACAUGGUUGCAGGGACAGAUGAACCCAAAAUCGGCAGGUCAGAUGGUAUCUGCUGGCUUAUGGGUCUGUAAGAGCUGGCGAAUACCAAAAUCUGCAGGUCAGACAGCAGGCUGCUGUCCCACAUCCCAAGAACCGGAGGUCAGAGGAUGACGAGUUGGAUGCAGGAUCGGGAGAGGGUGUGCUUUGCCAGCACAUCAAUAUAUAUUGGACAUAGGCUGUACCCCCAAGGAAACUCCCCUUUGAACUGGUUGGCUGCUCACAUCAGACCACAGAAUGGAGGAUCAUUGCAUAAUAUCUGCCAAACCACUGAGAAUCAUGGCCUAGUGAAGUUGACACAUAACCUUAACCAUCAUAAUGCACCCUUUGUCAGUUUGGUACCUGUACAUACCUCCUGAAACUGUAUGUAAUCUCUAAAGACAGUUAUAAAGUCAUACAAGUGCCGAACAUGAUACAACUCACAUGCGUACAACCAAAAAUGCACUAACCCUAUUUAUAUCUUAUAUUUUUAUAAGUAAUACAGUAAGAUAGAGAAGAAAACAAACAAUAUAUAUAUAUACACACACAUACAUGUGUAGCAAAACAAGGAAGAAAUACUAAAAACAAUUAUAGCCUUCAUUUCUGCAACUGGUGGGGUGGACCCAAACCUUUAUUCCUGAAGGGUCUGGGCCAUUAGUAGUCAUGUUGGAAUUGGGUUGCUGUAGUUUUCCAUUGACUUUAAUCAUAGGGCAUGGUAGUACUAAAAGAUAUCCUAAGGGAUCUCUUGUAUUCCAGACAUAUUCUUCUUUACCUCCAUUAUGUAAUAUCAGUCUGAUUCCCACUUGGUAAUCAGGAUCAGUCAGUACAGUAACUCCCUUCUUUGCCUGUUGAUCCAGAAGCAUGAGGAGCCCAAAGCAGCCAGGUGGCAUUCUUAACUUCCAGUUCAGUGGAAUCAGUGUUGUAUCUCCUGGUAGAAGCAUUCCUUCCUUUGGAACUAAGACUUCUACACUCUCAGAGCAUAGGGUCAUGGUGACAGGAAGCAAAUUAUGCAUUUGGGGCACUAGGGGUAAUAGUGAAUGGUACCAAUCCCAUUUCUACCCCCAGUUCAUUGACCCAUAAAUGCCGGCCGUGGGAGAAACAGCACCAUAUAUUGGAUGGUGGAUUAGAGCAUAUACAGCCUCCUGGAGAACAUUGUUGCAACCCUGCAAGUUAUUGCCAUCUUGCUGGCACCGUAAUUGUGUCUUUAGGAGGCCAUUUCAUCAUUCUAUCAAGUCAGCUCCAUCAGGAUAAUAGAGCACAUGGUAAGACCAGUGAAUUCCAUGAGCAUGGGCCCAUUGCGACACUUCAUUUGCUGUGAAGUGAGUUCCUUGAUCUAAGGCAAUGCUGUGUGGGAUGCCAUGACAGUGGAUAAGGCAUUCUGUAAGUCCACGGAUGGUAGUUUUGGCAGAAGCAUUGCGUGCAGAGAAGGCAAAUCCAUAUCCAGAUUAAGUGUCUAUCCCAGUAAGAACAAAACACUGUCCUUUCCAUGAUAGAAAUAGUCCAGUGUUAUCAACCUGCCACUAAGUUGCUAGCUGGUCACCUCUAGGAAUGGUGCCAUAUUGGGAAUUCAGUGUUGGUCUCUGUUGCUGGCAUAUUGGGCACUCAGCAGUGGCUGUAGCCAAGUCAGUCUUGGUGAGUGGAAGCCCUUGUUGCUGAGCCCAUGCGUAACCUCCAUCCCUGUCACCGUGGCCACUUUGUUCAUGAGCCCAUUGGACAAUGACAGUAGUGGCUGGGGGAGGAAGAUGACUGGUUUCCACAGAACGCAUCAUCCUAUCUACUUGUUAAAACCUUCCUCUGCUUUGGUGAGCAUUCACAUGAGACACAAAUAUCUUCACUUCUUUGACCCAUUUGGAGAGGUCUAUCCACACACAUCUUCCCCAUAUCUCCUUGUCACUAAUUUUCCAGUCACCUUCCUUCCAAGUCCCUGACCAUACAGUCAAACAUUGGCCACAGCCCACCAAUCAGUAUACACUUGCAUACCUGAUCAUCUCUCCUUCCAAGCAAAAUGAACAGCCAAGUGCUGUGCUCUACGUUCUGCCCAUUGGGAGGAUUUCCCUUCACCACUGUCCUUCAGGGAGGUCCCAGAGAGGGGCUGCAGUGCUGCCUCUGUCCACUUCCAUGCAGUGCCUGCAUACGUGCAGAACCACCUGUAAACCAGACACACGAGUUUUCCCUUACUCGGUCAACUGAUCAUAAGGAACUUCCUAUGAAGCCAUAGAUGCAGACUGAGAGAAGGAAGGUAAUGUGACAGGAGUGGGGACCAUGGGCACCUGGGCCAUUUCCUCAUGUAACUUGUGCCUACAGGUCCUGCUCAAGCCUAGUCUCUUAUAUACCAUUUCCAUUUAAUAGUGCAUUGCUGCUGUGUACAUCCAGCUUUAUGACUCUGGGUCAGACAGCACCCAGUUCAUGAUGGACAGCUUAGGUUGCAUAGUGACUUGAUGGCCCAUGGUUAAGUGUUCAGUCUCUACUAAGGCCUAGUAACAAGCCAAAAGCUGUUUCUCAAAAUGAGAAUAGUUAUCUGCAGAGGAUGGCAGGGCUUUGCUCCAAAAUCCUGAGGGUCUGUGCUGUGACUCACCAAUAGGGGCUUGCUAAAGACUCCAAACAGUAUAUCUGCUACUGACACGUCAAGAACCAUUGUAUCAGGCGGAUUGCAGAGUGACUUGGACAGCAGCCUGAACCUGUUGCAGAGCCUUCUCUUGUCCUGGGUCCCACUCAAAACUAGCAGCUUUUCAAGUCACUUGAUAAAUAGGCUGAGGUAGCACACCCAAAUGAGGGAUUUGUUGCCUCUAAAAUCCAGAUAGGACCACCAGGCAUUGUGCUUCCUUUUUAGUUGUAGGAAGGGCCAGAUGUAACAACUUAUCCUUUACUUCAGAAGGAAUAUCUCCACAUUGCCCACAUCACUGGACCCCUAGAAAUUUCGCUGAGGUGGAAGGCGCCAGAAUUUUUUUGGAUUUAUUUCCUACCCUCUAGCAUACAAAUAUCUUACCAAUAAGUCUAGAGUCAUUGAUACUUCUUCUUUAGUAGGUCCAGUCAGCAUAAUGUCAUCAAUAUAGUGGGCCAGUGUGAUGUUUUGUGGAAGGGAAAGGUGAUCAAGGCCCCUGUGGACUAAAUUAUGAUAUAGGGCUGGGGAUUUAAUAUACUUCUUAGGUGGGGCAGUGAAGAUGUAUUGCUGGCCUUCCCAGCUGAAAGCAAAGUGCUUCUAGCGGUCCUUCAAAACCAGAGUUGAGAAAAAGGCAUUGGCUGGAUAAGUACCUAUAUACCAGGUAACAGGAGAUAAAUUUGCCCAAGCAGUGAAACCGUAACUGGAACAGCAGCUGGAAUUGGGGUCACCACCUGGUUAAUUUUACGAUAAUCCACCGUCAUUCACCAAAAUCCAUCUGUUGCACAGGCCAAGUAGGCGAGCUGAGUGGGGAUAUGGUGGGAAUCACUACCCCUGAAUCCUCCAAGUCCUUGAUGGUGGCACUAAUCUCUGCAGUCCCCCCAGGGAUGCGGUAAUGCUUUCGUUUGCUAUUUUCCUAGGUAGUGGACGUUCUAACGGCUUCCAUUUGUUUUUUCCUACCAUUAUAACCCUUGCUCCACAUGUCAGGGAUCCAAUGUGGGGGUUCUGCCAGUUGCUGAUUAUGUCUCUUCCAAUUAUGCAUUCUGGAACUGGGGGUAUCACUACAGGGGAUGGGUUCAGGGACCCGCUAGACGCGCUGUGAGACGGACCUGAACUAAGACUCAACAAUCUGACUUCCAUACGCCCCUACUCUGACUGGUGGGCCACAGUGAUAUUUUAGUUCUCCUAGAAUUAGUUUCAGUUCAGAGCCAGUGUCCAGUAAUUCCAGGAAAGUCUGAUUAUUUCCUUUUCCCCAAUGAACAGUUGCUCUUGUAAAAGGCUGUAGAUCCCUUUGGGGGAAGGCUGGGAGAAAGGUUAACAGUAUAAAUUUUUGGCAGUACAAUGGGUCCUUCCUCAAGGGGUCCUGGCCGCCCCGUCAUUUAUGUGGCUCAAGUCUGGAAAUUGAUUGAGGGGCCAUGACUCUCUAUUCUGACGAUUCGAGUUAGAUUGCUGUUCACUUGACCUAGAAUUCUUCCACUUGUAGAGAUCAAGUAAAUAUUUAGUAGAUUUCCCAUGUAUUUCACUGCUAGGGACAUUAUGACUUAAGUAGCCAAUACCAUAAGUCCAUACAUGUCAGACUAUUCUGGUUACUGCUUUGACUCUGCUGUCCAUUACGGUAACCAUGCCAACCUUGUUUUUGUUAAUUAAGUGCUACCACUUGGCUGCUACCACCACAGAGUCUAAUCAGCCCCAUCGUAGUUAGGUGUCUCAAUUCACUUAGGGCAGUUUCCACUGUCGAAUAUGACUUACAUAAAGUAGCAAUCAUAGCAGUCUUCAGUGAUGCUGGGUCUCCCUUCACAAAUUUGUUUCUCACUGUUGCAGUAAAAGGUGUGCUCUAUGGCCACUCCAUCGGUGGGUCUGUGGGUCCAAUCUAAUAGAUCAGCUCUAACAUGCCUGUUUCCCUAAGCCUUUGGAUACCUUCUACCGUAUAUCAGGGCAGAUCUGGCAUUUCAGUUUGAUUUAGCGUAGGCCACUGCUUCAUCCAUGCUUCAAUAAACCAAAUAAACUAACCUCUUGAGCUGAAACAUUGAAUGAAGAAUCUGUGCUAAGUGGGCCUGUAUCAAUAAACUUAGACUGAUCCAACUUUAUGUUCCUUUUACCAUUAUUUCAUACCCUUAAUAGCCAUCCCCACACAUAUUCCCCAGGUUUCUGUUUGUAUAAGAAAAAUCAAGCAAUUCUUUUGGAAUGUAGCGUACCUCCUUCUGGGUCACGCUUUGUACUUAACCUCUUGGGGCUGUCUGGGGCUUAAGUCUGGUUAUAGGUCUAGAAGCAAAAAUGUGUGGUGGGGGUGGGUCCAAGUGAUUAAGCAAAGUCUUGUAAGGCAUCUGCCUCAGACUAUGCCUCAGGCAAUGCCCCAGGUGCUAUCCAGGUGAUAUCUCAGACAAAGACUCUUCAGACACAGCUGGCUUAAUUUCAUCAGAUAUGAUGGAAGGGAUGAUGGUUUUACUGGGGAGGGUGGCUUAGCAGACAAAGAUGGAGUAAUGUCUUCAGAUGGGAGUAAGAGGACUGGUUCUGUUGGCAGGAGUGAUUUAAUGGAAUUUAGGGGUUCAGUGUCCCCAUCUUCCUGAUUAUCUGCCCACAUGCCUCCAUCCCAAGUUUUCAGGAUUGUAUUUCUUCCCAAUCAAUGCCCUCACUUUAACUUCAGGCACCCUUUGAAUUUGGGAAUUCAAUUGGUGUUGUAAUUCAGCCACCCUUAUGAUAAGACUUUGGGUUUGAUUUUCAGGAAUAUCAGCUCUUUUACUACAAGAAGUAAGGCUUCCUUUCAGGAUACAAGAGGCAACUUUCAGUUCUUUAUGUGGUUCUUGAGCUUUGACUCUAAAGCCCUGAGCUCAUCUUUUUCUUUCAACACUUUGUCUAAUGAAAGCGGGACUAACCGUCCAGCCCCUCUAUAGUUUUCAUCCUGACAAAAUUGUAGAAAAGUAUCAAAUACACAGUCACCCAGAGGCUUGUUUAUCAGAAAUAUUUGAUCCAUUCGUGAUGAUAUUUUGCCUAUUUCUAUUGCCACCUCACGCUAUGGAUUAUCAGUGCCCUCUUUACUACUGGAGGCAGGGUCAUCAGCGCCUUUAAGAAGAGCCAGACUUGAGAACCAAUUCAGAAAACUCAUCCUUAUCAUUUUGUUCCUCUAGAACCACCCUCAGUACCAAAUGUCUUAGGCUGAGUUCUCUGGAGGAACAAAACCAGUGAGUGUGUGCGCGCACACACACACACACGUAUGUAUAUAUAAAGAGAGAUUUAUUUUAAGAAGAUAGUUCAUGCAGUUUGGAGGCUGGAAAGUCGCAAAUCUGUGGGCCAGACAUUAGGCGAGAGGCUUCUCUUGACUCACGUGGUUGAAGGGGCUCAUGAACCCAAAAUUGGCAGAUCAGAGAGUAGGCUGCUGAGUCACGGGGCUGUGGGAGCUGGUGAAUCCCAAAUCUGCAGGUCACAUGGCAGGCUGUUGGCUCAAAUCCCAAGAACCAGAGGUCAGUGGUUGAUAAGUCAGAUACAGGGUCCAGAGAAGGUGAGUUUUGCUGGAUGUCUGUAUAUAUUGGAUGCAGGCCACACCCCAAGGAAAAUCCCCUUUCAACUGAUUGGCUGCUCAUAUCAAAUCACAAAAUGGAGGAUAAUUACAUAAUACCUGCCAAACCACUGAGAAUCAUGGCCUAGCCAAGUUGACACAUAACCUUAACCAUCACACCAGGCAUAAUAUAUUUAUUUAUUUUCACAAGGAUCAAAGGCUUGAAGUGAAGAAAAAUAGCCUUCCAGUUCCUUUUCAGGAAUAUCUGAUAAACAGUUGAUCAGAUGGAUGACAUCUUGAUGAACAAUUUAAUUUACCCUGCAUUCCCCUUAACAGUUCAUUAUGUCUUUAGUCCCAUCUUUUGUCCUUGGUCUUCUUUUCUCCAAUCCAAACCACUGAGGGAGAGGCAAAGACGUGAAGAAGAUGUGGUGGGGAGCAGAGAGGGCUGGGGAGGUGGAGAAGGAAAAAGCAGUUAGGGCUGGAGUGUUGAGGUGCGAUGCGGCUGCUCUAAUAAUUUAUUAAUUCUGAGUUUUGGUCGGCCAGCCUGAAACAGAAAAUAUUUCUGUUUUCCACUGUAGUCACGCUACAGGAGUCCUGAGUGUGGAAAGUGUGAAAGCCUUACCAAAUGAUUAGUUGCCAUAGUAGCCUGUUCUCCCGACUCUGCGUACUACUUCUUACUCCCUGAGCCUAGUAUAGUGUGAGGAACAUAAGCAUUCAGUCAGUAUUGGAUGCAUGAGAAUUAAUGAGGUAAAAAGUCCUAGAGACCAUUGUUUGAAUCCUUCAACCCUGUGGAUAACACAGACGUAGAUCAUCUUGUUCUCUAUGUCUAGAUGCUACAGUGAUGGGAUCAGAAAUGUCACAAAGCAGUUACUUCUCUUUGAUACAGGCAAUAGCUAAUAAUCUAAAAAGCAUUCACAGAUUGUGCUGAAACAAGCAGAACUAUAUAAAAUGCUAAGUAAAAAUUGUGAUGGAAAAAGGUGGUAGUGCUAUUAUAAGUAAUUUAAGAAAUUGACACAAUGACAUCUACCUUGGCAAGUGUUUGGUGGGAGGGGGACUGCAGAAGACAGAAAGGAACUAUUUGAAAGAGGUGCUGCCAACUCUAAUUUCCUUACUGAUAUAUAUUUCCAAAGAUGACAGAUUUUUGGAGGUGUUUAUUUUGGAACUCAUCUUCCAUAUUUCCAUUCUGCCUCCCCUGUAUCCUGUAUCUCGCGCUGCCAGAAUUCUGCUAGCUACCGUGAAGCAGAGCUAUGGCAAGAAGCCAAGUGGGAUAAAAAUCUACUUUUCAUUUCGAAGGAGAAUAUAGGUGUCAGAAUACUUUAAAGAAGUAUUUAAAGAUAGAUUGAGUGAGUAGAAGUAGUAAAAACCAAAUGAGAAGAUAGAAGGUUUUUGAUUGGCUUUUGAUGGAAUUACAUCUCUUUUGGAAACAGCAGAAUACCAACUUAGACCUGUCUCUGGCUGUUGGUUUGUCUUUUUUGCUCUUCUUUUUUUUUCCCCUGAUCUUUGAGUGCCGUUGCUAGAAGCUGCUGAAUAGCAGAAAAAUGAGUUUUCUGAUCAUGAACUGGUGGUGGUGGUUUUUUUUUUUCCAGAGGGGGCCCCAAAGGUAUACUUUGUGUGAAUGUCUGACAGUGUAUGUUUGCACGUUAAUACUUGGAUUUUGUUUCUUUACUUUUGUUCUUGUUAUAACCUAAGAGAAAUGAAAUAUUUUUUGAAUUCCAGCUCUGAUUUAAGCUUAAAAACAAACUGUCAUCUAAGCACCGCUGAGGUAGUAAAACAGAAUUGUUUUAACAUAUUACAGAAUUUUGGACUAUUCAUCUACUAAAUGGGGAGCUGAACUCUAGUCGGUGCUUUCUUUAAUUUUAAUAUCUCAUUCCGCAUUAGCGUUUGAUUCAGAAUGAAGUCAUUUCUCAGCAUGGCGAAGUGCCACAAAGCUGGAUGAGCUUAAACAUGUAAUGGUUUUCUUUUUAAUGGUUGCUGGAGCUUUUAGCAGUAAAUGGAGAAAAUGAAAGGGGAAUAGAAUAGAUUUCUUGCCUAAAAUGAGUAUUCUUGGGAAGAUGAAAAGUAGAGACAAGGUGAGGCCCUGAGUUAUAGAUCCGAAGGUCACAUCACAGCCAGCAUCAGAAAGUGGCAGCACUAGCUAGCGGAAGAAAGGGCAGCAGGUAACUGCUGAUGAGCACACUUUCAAAGGCGCUCACUUGUGAGUCCCAUUCCAUCACCAGUGGGGCUUUUCUGUUUUGUUUUUCAAACCCUUCUUAAGGAAGUUACCUUAUGUCCAGUCAAGCAUACAAGGGGAAAAGUCUUUUCUUGUUUAAAUUAUGAGUGUGUCAUGCGUAUAUAAAAACAAGUACAAUAACAUAAUGUAUGCCCUUUAGCUUGAGAAAUUAAACUAUAAUUACUGCCCCAACUACUUUUCCUUAGUCUUAUUUCUUGUCCCCUCUUCCAAAACAUUCACUUGAAUUUGGUGUUUACAAUUCUCAUGCAAGGAACCCCAGUGGCACAGUAGUUAAGCGAUCAGCUGCUGAUUGAAAGGUUGGUGGUUCGAACCCACCAGCCCCUCUGCAGGACAAAGAUGUGGCAGUCUGCUUCCAUAAAGAUUACAGCCUUCGAAACCCUAUGGAGGCAGUUCUACACUGUCCUGUAGGGUUGCUAUGAGUUGGAUUGACUUGAUGGCAAAGGGCUUGGUUUUUUUUUUUUUUAAUUCCCAUGGGUGUGUUUAUGCUUUUGCUGUGUAUGUGUAAAUAUUAUAUAGUAUUUUAGUCAUGUUUUAAAACCUUAUCUAGAAAGUAUUAUACUGUAUGUAUUCUAUAAUUUAUUCCUUUUCCUUAAUCUUUUUUUUUUUUUAAUUAAUAUGUAUGUAGUUGAUACAUGUAGUUCUGGCUUGAUUUUUAACUACUCUGUGGUUUUCAUUCUCUUCCAUAUUUUUAACGGUUCUGUUAACUACAAGUCUUUUUAGCUGAAUAUUUUCGGUGGACAGACAGAAAAGAGGAAUAACUUAUGUCACUAGGAAUGUUGUUUUGACUUUCAAAAAAGCCAGUUUCCAUUUUUGGUGUGGAAUGUCCUUGUUUAUCAUAUUCCUGGGAAAACCCUUUCUGCUUCCCCAGAGAAGGCGGAGACGAGUAAUGUUUCGUUACACAGAUGGAGGGUGUCUUGGGCAAAAUGCAGAACAGCAUCUGCUGUGAUACAGCAGGCUCCUGAAGAAUUGAGCUGUGCAGCCAAAGCUUGCUUUACUCUACCAGAAUUCUCUUAUUUUACAAGUGCAGACAAGCUGUGGUUGAAAACUUGAUGGCAUUAAUUUAUUGUUUCUUCGGAUAUAUACGUUUUGGAAUAAUUUGCAAUUUGGGGACUGUCUGCUUUAUUUAGUAAAAGGGUGCGUGUCUUGUAUGUAAAAAGACUGUUCCUGAAUUGGGCUGUGGUUUUAUGGAGCAAAGGAAAAAUAAAGUCUGGGAAUGGAGGGAGGGGUGGAGGGGAUUUCUUUUGGAGGCAGGCGGUUGAUGUGAAAUAAAUAUGUAUUUGUCAGUGUAUGUUCUUACUUUGUAGUCAUUCUUCUUAAAAGGCAAUCUCCAAUAAUUUUUUUCCUUCCCACUUUCAUUCUGUUGUCUUUCCUUUGCAGCAUCCUUGAUAACGGUUUGAGCAUUUUUGCAGAGUACGCAGUGCCAAGUUUCAUUCAGAUUGUCCCGCCAAAUGAUUUGCUAUAGUGCACUAACCAGAAAUGCUGAGGCAGCAAGGGAAACACCGAUAAAUGGGAUGCUUUCCAGGACUUUAGCUCAAAGCAAGGGAAACACAAGCCAAAAUUAAGAAGAAAAUAUUAGUUAGGCACCCAAGAUACGGUCCAGCCAGAUAUGCUAUUAACGGUCUUUCACUACUAUCCCUACAGUGGUUGGCAAGAUAUCGUUUCUACCUCACUCUCCAUGUACCAUGCCAGUGACAUCUUAGCUGCUAGAGUGUGGAGCUGGCCUGUGGGAGUCAAGUCACCUUGUAAAUUUUGCCUAUGUAAAUUAACACAUCCCCUGUUAUGUCAUAACAACCAUGUAAGGGAGAGUGUUUUCCUGCUCUGUCUUAGGUAUUGGUGAUGUGACCUGUUCACGCAGGGGAAACUUGAACAUUCUCAGGUACGUGAAGAUGAUGAUUCCUUAGCAUUUUCCCCCUGCAAAACAAAGCAGAGUUUUUAUUUCAGUGUUAACUCACGACGUGGUUUUGUAUGAUCUACCAGUUGACUUUCUUGUCCCCUUCCCUUCCCCCCAAUACUAUAGAACAGAGGUUGGCAAACUGUAGCCUGGACUGCUGCCUAUUUUUGUAAAUAAUGUUUUACUGGAACACAGACACACCUAGUCAUUUAUGUAUUGUCUGUGGUUGCUUUUGCACUAAGUGACAGAGUUUUUGCAACAGAGACUGUAUGAACCACAAAGCCUAACUCCUUACUUUCUGGCCCUUGAAGAAAAAGUUUGCCAACUCCUGCUGUAGAAGAACCAAACUUAAAGUUUUCUAGAACCACAGUUGAUUUCAGAUGGUCCUCUAAGGAGGACCUCUAAUGAGAAAGCCAAGAUCUGUGUCUUACUGCUGACUAAGAAGUAAAUAUUUGCAAUUUAUAUAGUGGUGGGAUUACUAAUACAAGGUUAAUGAAGUGAAAAGCUAUGAUGGCAGCCCAACUUAGUUAUCUUUUCUUUCACUCAUUAUAUUCUGAACUCUUUUUCAUUCUCACUCAUUAUAGGUGUUCAUUCAGUGGCAGGAUGUUAUUUUUCUUUCUAGAGUCUCUAAAGGCUUUAUAGAACAGGUAAGGAUAAAAGGUUUAAAUAGGAAAUCUGGCUCAGCCAAAGAAGUGAUGAUGAAAUGAUUUCCCGAUUCAUGGAAAGAAUAUUAGAGUUAAGAGGAACUUGCGAUCAUGGAAAUUGAGGACCAGGGAAGUUAGGGAAAUGUCCAGUGAUCACAGAGCAAAUUAGUGUUAGAGCUGAAACUAGGUCUCCUGCCACCUUGCCUGGGGUUCCUUCCACUAAGUCUCAUGCUGUCUUUGGGGUUGCUUGUUUUCCCAACUAGCUGUAAGGAACAUCUAUUUUCCAUUUUUCUCCCUGAAGUUAAAACAAAGACUUAAGCUACUAAGGUAUAAUUUAUUGGAGAGUUGAUCAUACUUGGAGUUUGGGUACUUUUAUUUUAUCGUUAGAAGAAAACUUUGGGGGUGUUGCUUCUUAAUGAAUCAUUAAGUGUGUGUACUGUAUACUGGAAUAUAAAGGGAAAUCUGAGUCUCGUUCAUAAUUUUAUAGGUAGGAACAAAACUAAAAUUGGUAUAAAUAGACUGCUUCCCUCAUGUAUCUGUGUUUAAGCCCAUAGAUGGGAAGUGUGUGUGUGUUUGUGUGUCUGUCUGUCUAAUGACUUUUAAAGUGCAUUUGGGUUACAUUCUGAAGGGAGUUUAGCAGAUGUGUUGUAGUCUGUAGAUUAUGUUGCAGUUUUAAAUGGAUUUUUUAAAAUAAGCUUUUUAUUUUAGAACAGUUUUAGAUUUACAGACAAAAUGGGGAGGGUGGUUCAGAGAGUUCUUACAUACCUUCCCUUUCCACCUCCCCUCUGGUUUCCCGAAUUAUUAACAUCUUAUGUUAUAUGGUACAUUUGUUCCAAUUAGUGAACCAAUAUCAAUACAUUAUUAUUAACCAAAGUCCAUACUUCAUUCAGAUUUUCUUAGUUUUUGCCUAAUGUCCUCUCUCUGUUCCAGGAUUAAAUGCAUUUUUAUUAACAUGUUCAUUGAUGUAGAAGGCACUCCUGUGACCACCUGAAGAUUAGAGUAAUUCUGAAGUCCCUUUCAGUUUCCAAGAGUCUGAUUAAAUGAGUAGCUAGACAGGCUUAACUGCUACAGAGUUCUGGUUUGUAACAUUUAUAUGACAAUAAGAAUGUUAUAGAAUAUAACAUUUAUAUUCUUCUGUAACAUGUUGAACAAGUCCUUACUUAACAUGUUGAACAAGUUGAUGGCACUGGCUCUUCAAUUGUUUGUUUUCAUCAAUUCCAUUAAACUCUCUGAAAGGACAAGACAGAUUUGGUUAAUUCUAACUGUUAUCAAAAGUGUCAUAUGCUAAAUUGCUGGUGAAAAUAUUCUAAAGUACAUUGCCUUCUUUGGAAAUGGAGUGGAUUAACUAUCCUAGUUCAAUAUGUUUGUCCUUCAGAAAGGAGCCAUUGAAAUCAGCACCUUCCGGUGAAUCAUUAAUCGUUCACAUUUCACUAUGCCCAUUGCCAUCGAGUCGAUUCUGACUCACAGUGACCCUACAGGACAGAGUAGAAAUGCCCUGUUGGGUUUCCAAGGCUGUCAGUCUAUAAAAGCCAACUGCCACGUCUUUCUCCUGAGGAGCAACUGGUGGGUUUGAACCACCUGUCUUUCAUUUAGCAGCUGAGCACUUUAACCACUAUGCCACCAGGGCUUCUCACAUUUUCCUAUAAAGACCUUAAAUUAUUUCUUCCUUAAAAGUUUACCAGUUAUUUACUAAAAUUGGACACAUACCUGCCCUGUGACUCAGUAGCUCCAUGCCUACAUUCAUACAUGACAGAAAUGCAUACAUAUAUUCACCAAAAGACAUGAACAGAAAUGUUCAUUGCAGGGCUAUCUGCAGUAGUCCAAACUGGAAUGAUCCAAAUGCCUGUCAAAAAUAGAAUAGGUAAAUAAGUUGUGGAAUGUCUGCACAGUGGAUAUCGAACAGCGAAGAGAGUGAAUAAAAUACAGACUACAGCAACAAAUUUCACAAAUAUAAUGUUGAGCAAAAGAAGCUAGACACUAAAGAGUGCGUACUCUAUGAUUCUACUUAACGUAAAUUUCAAAAACGCAAAAAUCAUCUGUGGUGUCAGAAGUCAGGAGAUUGGUUACCUGUGUUGGGGGUGGGGGAAAUGUCUGGAAGAGGGCGUGAAGGGGGCUUCUGGGGUGCUAAUAAUGUUCUGCUUGUUGGUUCGGGUACUGGUUAUAUGGGUGUGUUCACCUUGGGAAAAGGCAUCAAGCUUAUAUACUCUUCUGUGUGUAUGUUAUUGUGUUAUUAGCCAUUGAAAAAAGUAUGUGAAAAGUACUAGCGAUUCUGAAAAUAAAAACCAGAUACAAAAUUUCUCUGGUAACAUUUGAGGUAUAUAUGGAGAACAAGCUGAACAAAUUAGCCUCAUAUCUUAGAAUAUAUAGAAUAUCAUGGGAUGAUCAGGGAGCCAUUGUGGCACUGGUGCUGUUACAGUUUUGUUUGUGUUGUAAACUGAAUAAAAUAGGUGGUGGUAAUGCUUGCUUUUUAUUGUAACCAGGUUUUUGGGAUGCCUCAGACGAGGACAUCUUUUCCUUCAUGUUGGUAUUUAGUAGACUCUCCAAGGCACAGCCUCCACCCAUUCUUCUACAAGAAUAAAGGCUGCUAAGCUAAAGCAGUAUAGAACCAAGUAGGUGUGCCUUGGGUGUAUUGAUACGUGCUGGGACGUCCUCUUCCCCACUGAGGGGCUUUGUUAGAUCGGUGAAUGAACUUCAGUCUUGCAUCUCUGUAUAUUUUACAUUCUACUUGACUUUUAUGGCAUCACCUCAAAAUCAGAAUGUAGAAUUGUCUCCCUAAACGAAGCCCCUUUUUACUACUCAUGUUUUUCUUAUUGGAACUUUUGUCUCUCCAGUUACUUGAGUUAAAAUUAAUUUUUAAGCUCUUCCCUUUUCCUUUGCAGCCCUUUUCCACCCCUUUAUUUAGUAACUAAAUCCCUGUUGGAGUCUGCCUCUUUUGUCUCAUUCACUUGGCACUUUGUGUUCCAAUUAUCGCCACAUUUUAAAACUCUUAUUGUGUGUCUAAACUUUUGUGAUAGCUUUCCUAACUAGCGUCCUUAGCUUUCAGUGUUUUCCCUACAAUCAAUCCAUUUUCUUUCUUCCAGAUUUAUCUUUCUAAAACCUAAUUUAUCAAAUGAUUCCCUACACAAAACUUUGGCUUGACACUACCUUUAAGACUUUAUAUAGAUUCCUUAGUCAUAUUCAUUCAAGGUCUUCUAUAAUUGAGUUUUACCCUGUCUUUCCAUCUUUAAUGAUAAUGCUUUUUUUUUUUUUUACUGUUGUAAAAAAUAUAUACAUAACACAGCAUUUGCCAAUUCAACAUAUUUUACAGCUACAGCUCAGUGACACCACUUACGUUAAUUAUGUCAUGCAGUCAUCACCAGUGCCAGCUGCCAGGUUUUCUAUCACCAUAAACAGACGUUCAGUGCUUCCUAAACAAUGAAUGAUAAUUUUUUUCCUAAAUUUUAUUUACUUUGUUGUUGUUGAGAAUAUACACAGCAAAACAUACACCAAUUGAACAAUUUCUCCAUGUACAAUUUAGUGACAUUGAUUACAUUUUUCCGGUUGUGCAACCAUUCUCACUCUCUUUUUCUUAGUUAUACCUCCCGUAUUAACAUAAGUUCACUGUCCUCUAAAGCUCCUGUCUAAUCUUUCAAGUUGCUGUUGUCAAUUUGAUCCCAUGUAGGUGGUUCUUAAAGAGCAUAAUGCUCAAGGCAGACCUUUUGUUUUACUAGUUCAGCUAAACUGUAGUUUGGUUUUAAGAUGACUUCAAGGGGUAUUUUUGGUUUAAGGUUUAAAGAUUGUCUCAGGGCAAUAUCUUCAAGGGUUCAUUCACCCUCCAUGGCUCCAGGAAGUUUAGAGUCCAUGAAAAUUUGUGUCCCGUUCUAUAUUUUCCCACUUUUGAUCAGGAUACUUCUAUGGAAUCUUUGCUCAAAGUGAUUAGUAAUGGUAGCUGGACAUCAUCCAGUUCUUCUGGCCUCGUGGCAAAGGAGGCAGUUGUUUGUGGAGGCAAUUAGCCACACAUUCCAUAUCCUGCUCCUGCCCCUGAUGCUCUUCCUUCCUCUGUUGCUCCAGGUGAAUAGAGACCAGUUGUUGUGCUCUGGAUGGCCACUUGGAAGCUUUUAAGAUCCCAGGCACUAGGUAUCGAACUAGUGCAUAGAACAGAUGCACUAAAUACAUUAUUAGGCCAAUUAAUUGGGAUGUUCCGUGAAACCAUGACCCUUAACCUCCAAAUCAUGGAACCAAAUCCGUGAAGUGUUCGGUUGUACAUAAAGCAGCCUCAGCAGCUAUCUUUUUUUUUUUUUUGUCAUUGUUGUAAAUAUAUCUGUCACACAACUUUUGCCAGUUCAACUUUUUACAGGUACACAGCUUAUUGACAGCAAUUAUAAUAAUUGACUGUGCAACCCUACUCUUAAUCAAUUUCCCAUGAUCAUUAAUGCCCCUUCCCUCUGCCCUAGGUAACCGCUAAUAAACUGUGGUCUCUGUACAUUUGCCUAUCUUGUUUUUUUAUGUAAGUGAGGUUACACAACCUUUGUCCUUUUGUGAUUGGCUAAUUUUGCUCACCAUAAUGUCUUCAAGCACCAUCCAUACUGUAGCAUGUAUCAAGACUUCAUUUCUCCUGCUGGAUGAGUAGUAUUCCAUUUUAUGUAUAUGCACUGCAUUUUGUUUAUCCAUUCAUCUCUUGAUGAGCAUUUAGGUUGUUUCCACCUUUGGGCUAUUGUGAAUAGUGCUGCAGUGAACAUUCGUGUACAAGUCUGUUCUUCUUGUCUUUUGGGUACAUACCUGGAAGUAGAAUUGCUGGGUCAUACGGUGGUUUUAUUUUUAGUUUUUUUGAGGAGCUGCCACACUGUUUUCCACAACAGCUAUAUCUUUUUGCAUUCCCACCAGCAAUGGAUAAGGCUACCAGUUUUUCUACAUUCUUGCCAAUUUUUGUUAAUUUCUGUUUUUUUUAAUCUUAGCCAUCCUAGUAGGAAUGAAAUGGUAUCUCAUUGUGGUUUUGAUUUGUUUCUCUCUGAUGUCUGAUGAUGCUGCGUACCUUUUCAUGUGUCUGAUGGCCGUUCGAAUGACCUCUUUGGUGAAAUGUCUGUUCGAGACCUUUGCCCAUUUUGUUGUUGUUGUUAGGUGCCAUUGAGUCGGUCCCAACUCAUAGCUACCCUGUGCACAACAGAAUGAAACGCCGCCCGGUCCUGCGCCAUCCUUACAAUUGUUGUUAUGCUUGAGCUCGUUGUUGCAGCCACUGUGUCAGUCCACCUUGUUGAGAGUCUUCCUCUUUUCCGCUGACCCUGUACUCUGCUAAGCAUGAUGUCCUCCUCCAGGGACUGAUCGCUCCUGACAACAUGUCCAAAGUAUGUAAGACGCAGUCUCGCCAUCCUUGCUUCUAAGGAGCAUUCUGGUUGUACUUCUUCCAAGACAGAUUUGUUCGCCACGUCUGUCAGUUUGUGACGUAGAUGGAGUAAAGCUUUUGGGACCUUCCUUUGCUGAUGUGGCACGACUCAAAAUGAAAAGAAACAGCUGCAAACAACCAUUAAUAAUCGGAACCUGGAAUGUACAAAGUAUGAAUCUAAGAGAACUGGAAAUCGUCAAAAAUGAAAUGGAACGUGUAAACAUCAAUACCCUAGGCAUUAGUGAGCUGAAAUGGACUGGUAUUGGCCAUUUUGAAUAGGACAGUCAUAUAGUCUGCUAUGCUGGGAAUGACAGCUUGAAGAGGAAUGGUGUUGCAAUUCAUCGUCAAAGAGAAUAUUUCAAGACCUAUCCUGAGGUACACCGCUGUCAGUGAUAGGAUAAUAUCCAUACGCCUACAAGGAAGACCAGUUAAUAUGACUACUGUUCAAAUUUACACACCACCCACAAAGGCCAAAGAUGAAAAAAUAGAAGAUUUUUAUCAGCUGCUGCAAUCUGAAUUGAUUGCCCAUUUUAUCAUUGGGUUAUUGGUCCUUUUGUUAAGUUGUUUAGGUUUUAUAUAUAUUUUGGUUAUUAAAUUGUCAUCAGAUAUAUGAUUUCUGAAGAUACUCUCAGUAGCUUGUCUUUUCAUUUUUUGGUAAAGUCUUUUGAUGAACAGAAGUUUUUAAUUUUUAUGAGGUCCCAUUUAUUUAUUUUGUCUUUUGCUCUUGGUGUUUUUAUUAUAUUAGAUAAUCCAUUGUUAAAAGCUAGGCCUGAAAAGGUUGGUGUUACCUUUUUGUAAGCAUGAUGUGAGGGCGACGUCUGAUCUCCUUUUAACUUCACAAGGGGAGAGGAGAAUCAAUAUCAACAGCCCAAGGCUGAUUGCUAUGAGGUGGUGGUCAGACACACCUCCUCUCGCUAGCCUUUUUUUUUUUUAACCAGUUCUGGCCACCAACCGUCCCUCCCACAGCACUCUAUUUCUCUACUGAGUUCGACAAUUCAUUGUAGUGGCUACACAGAACUCAGAGGCCAUACUCAGGAUCAUGGGGUUUAUUAGGGAAGUAACAGGUUACAGUUCAGGUUUAGGAAUGCUCGGGAUACAGUUCAUCCACCAGGACAGCUUCUUCCCAGCUGUGCCUACAGGCUCGCCUCUCUCUGGCCCUUGUCCUCUAUCCCGUUUGGGUAAGUGUUACAACGCUAUUUUAGCUCUGCUGGUAAGUGUCCAGAGGCACCCUAGUCUGCCAGUAAGCCUCGAUCCGAAGUUGCUCAGCUCUAGCUUCAUGGGUCAGCAAACCUAGCUUUACCACAUGCCCAGAGGCACCCUGCUCCACCAGUGAACCUCCUGCCCGAAGGCACUCAGCUUUCUCACUCUCUGCGUCAGGCCACCUCCUGCCAGUCUCCUGGUUCUGCUGCUGCUGUUUCUCUGCUGCCAUUUCUCACCAUCUUUGGUGUUAACAUCUCUCUCAGUCUCCUGGUUCCAGGAGCUUCUCAGCACGGGGAUCCUGAGUACAAAAGAUGCACUCCACUUUGGGCUCUUCUUGUUUGAUGGUGAUGAGAUCUUCCCUCCCACCUCUGAGAUGCUCAUUUUAAGCCUGGCAGGAUGACAAAAUUGACCUGUCCCUUUGUUAGGGUUCCCUAUACCUUAUUUGCAUAAUCACUUUGGUGGGAGUUAUAAGACCAUGAUGAGGAAGGCCAUAUAAAAGCGAUCCAUAGCACUGCAGUUUUCUUGUAAGAAUUUUAUGAUUUAAGUUUGCACAUUUAGGUCCUUAAACCAUUUUGAAUUUGUUUUUGUCCAUGGUGUGAGGCAUGGGCCCUGUUUCAUUUUUCUGCAAGUGGAAAUCCAGUUUUCCCAGCACAUUUAUUGAAGAGACUCUUCUUCCCCCAUCGAAUGGACUUAACAUGCUUGUCAAACAUCAGUUGACCAUAGAUGUGUGGGUUUAUUUCUGUACUGUCAAUUCUAUUCCAUUGGUCUGUGUGUCUAUUGUUAUACUAAUACCAGGCUGUUUUGAUUACUGUAGCUGUAUGGUAUGUUUUUAAAUCAGGAAAUGUGAGUCUUCCUACUUUAUUCUUCUCUUUCAACAUGGUUUUAGCUGUUCGGGGUCUCUUGCCAUUCCAUAUAAAGUUGAGGAUUGAUUUUUCUAUUUCUGUGAAGAUCGGUGUUGGAAUUUUGAUUGGGGUUGUGUUGAAUCUGUAGGUCGCUUUGGGUAGUAUUGACAUCUUAACAAUAUUAAGUUUUCCAAUCCAUGAACAUGGAACAUCUUUCCAUUUAUUUAAGUUUCAUCAAGUCUCUUUCAGCAGUGUUUUAUAAUUUUCAUUGUAUAAGUCCUUCAUGUCUGUGGUUGGAUUUAUUGCUAGGUAUUUUAUUCUCUUAGAUGUUAUUGUAAAUGGAAUUGUUUCCUUAAUUUCCCUUUCAGAUUUCUUAUUGCUGGUGUGUAGAAACCCAGCUGAAUUUUGUUGCUGACCUUGUACCCUGCAGCUUUCCCAGAUUCCUCUUUUAGCUCUAGAAGUUUUCUUGUGAACUCUUUGGGUUUUUCUAUGUAUAGAAUCAUAUCAUCUGCUGAAUAGAGAUAAUUUUACUUCUUUUCCAACCUGGAUACCUUUUGUUUCUUUUUCUUGUCCUUUUGCUCUGGCUAGGAUUUCUGAUACAAUAUCAAAUAGAAGUAGUGAGAACAGGCACCCUUGUCUUGUUCCUAAUUUCGAGGGGAAGGCUCUUAGUCUUUCUCUGUUAAGUAUGAUGUUGGCUGUUGGCUUUUCAUAUAUGCCCUGAAUCAUACGGAGGAAUUUCCCUUUAUUCCAUUAUUCUUUAGGGUUUUCAUUAAGAAACGGUGUUGGAUUUUGUCGGAUGCUUUUUAUGCAUCCAUAGAGAUGAUCAUGUGGUUCUUUUCCUUUGUUCUGUUGAUGUGGUGUAUUUUGUUAAUUGAUUUUCUAAUAUUUAACCAUCUCUGCAUUCCUGGAAUAAAUAGCACUUGGUCAUGGUGUAUGACUCUUAAUAUUCUGUAGGAUUCUGUUUGCUAGUAUUUUGUUGAGGAUUUUUGCAUCUAUAUUCGUACGAGAUAUUGGCCUGUAGUCUUCUUUUCUUGUAAUAUCUUUGUCUUGUUUUGGUAUCAGGGUUAUGUAUGCUCCAUAGAACGAAUUAGGGGGUACUCCUUCUUUAUCUUUUGCAAUAUUUUUUUUUUAUUAACUUUUAUUAAGCUUCAAGUGAACGUUUACAAAUCCAAUCAGUCUGUCACAUGUAAGUUUACAUACAUCUUACUCCGUACUCCCACUUGCUCUCCCCCUAUUGAGUCAGCCCUUUCAGUCUCUCCUUUCGUGACAAUUUUGCCAGCUUCCCUCUCUCUCUAUCCUCCCAUCCCCCCUCCAGACAAGAGAUGCCAACACAAUCUCAAGUGUCCACCUGAUUUAAUUAGCUCACUCUUCAUCAGCAUCUCUCUCCCACCCACUGACCAGUCCCUUUCAUGUCUGAUGAGUUGUCUUCGGGGAUGGUUCCUGUCCUGUGCCAACAGAAGGUCUGGGGACCAUGGCCGCCUGGAUUCCUCUAGUCUCAGUCAGACCAUUAAGUAUGGUCUUUUUAUGAGAAUCUGGGGUCUGCAUCCCACUGAUCUCCUGCUCCCUCAGGGGUUCUCAGUUGUGCUCCCUGUCAGGGCAGUCAUCGAUUGUGGCCGGGCACCAACUAGUUCUUCUGGUCUCAGGAUGAUGUAGGUCUCUGGUUCAUGUGGCCCUUUCUGUCUCUUGGGCUCUUAGCUGUCGUGUGACCUUGGUGUUCUUCAUUUUCCUUUGCUCCAGGUGGGUUGAGACCAAUUGAUGCAUCUUAGAUGGCCGCUUGUUAGCAUUUAAGACCCCAGACGCCACAUUUCAAAGUGGGAUGCAGAAUGUUUUCAUAAUAGAAUUAUUUUGCCAAUUGACUUAGAAGUCCCCUCAAACCAUGUUCCCCAGACCCCCGCCCUUGCUCCGCUGACCUUUGCAGCAUUCAUUUUAUCCAGGAAACUUCUUUGCUUUUGGUCUAGUCCAAUUGAGCUGACCUUCCAUGUAUUGAGUGUUGUCCUUCCCUUCACCUAAAGCAGUUCUUAUCUACUAACUAAUCAGUAAAAUACCCUCUCCCUGCCUCCCUCCCU
This is a long non-coding RNA of Loxodonta africana (African savanna elephant), 30993 nucleotides long. RefSeq lists it as uncharacterized. The transcript has 3 exons. Lineage: Eukaryota; Metazoa; Chordata; Mammalia; Proboscidea; Elephantidae. The record is from RefSeq and is a predicted model, not a curated record.